GGGGCUGCGCGCCGCCGCCUCGGGGGAGUCUCGGGGCUCCUCAACCGAGGCGGCAGCGGCGGCGUGCUUGCUGCGGCCGGUGGAGAGGGUGAGGGGAGAGGGAGGGGGAGGGGCAGGGGCAAGGGCCGGUGGGCCGGCUGCGCAGGUGGGCCAGCCCACCAGCGGCCAAUUUUUUUAUUAUUUUUUAUUUUUCUUAUAUGAUGUACAUGAUGUAUACUUUUAAUUAUUAAUUGUCCUAGAUAAAUGUAUAUAAUGUUUUAUUUUUCUUAUAAUUAUUAAUUGUCCUAAAUAAUUAUUAAUUGUCCUAAAUAAUUGUUCUAAAUAAAUUAUCAAUUAUUUUAUAAUGCAAUUAUUUAUAACACAAUUAUUUACUUUUAGUUUAAGUGUCUAUGUAUAUACAUUAUGCAUAUGCAAUUAUUUAUAAUGCAAUUAUUUAUAAUGCAAUUAUAUAUAAUGCAAUUAUAUGUAAUGCAAUUAUAUAUGCAAUUAGUUUAAGUAGUU
Molecule: long non-coding RNA, 501 nt
Filed under: Sorghum bicolor (sorghum)
Lineage: Eukaryota; Viridiplantae; Streptophyta; Magnoliopsida; Poales; Poaceae
Description: long non-coding RNA (SBIC_LNC008338)
Source: RNAcentral